GACGAACGCUGGCGGCGUGCUUAACACAUGCAAGUCGAACGGAAAGGCCCUGCUUUUGUGGGGUGCUCGAGUGGCGAACGGGUGAGUAACACGUGAGUAACCUGCCCUUGACUUUGGGAUAACUUCAGGAAACUGGGGCUAAUACCGGAUAUGAGCUCCUGCUGCAUGGUGGGGGUUGGAAAGUUUCGGCGGUUGGGGAUGGGCUCGCGGCUUAUCAGCUUGUUGGUUGGGUAGUGGCUUACCAAGGCUUUGACGGGUAGCCGGCCUGAGAGGGUGACCGGGGAUAUUGGAACUGAGAUACGACCCAGGCUACUACAGGAGGCAGCAGUGGGGAAUAUUGCACAGUGGGCGGAAGCCUGAUGCAGCAUCACCGCGUGCGAGAUGACUGCCUUGGGGUUGUAAACCGCUUUCGCCUGUGACGAAGCGUGAGUGACGGUAAUGGGUAAGGAAGCACCGGCUAACUACGUG
This 468-nucleotide ribosomal RNA is filed under the name uncultured bacterium. RNAcentral's name for it is "partial 16S ribosomal RNA". It matches the Rfam family "Bacterial small subunit ribosomal RNA", at positions 28 to 507 of the family's 1533-position model. The record is from RNAcentral.